UUUCGACGUACUAAAACUAAAGACUGAACUAAGCAUGUAGAGCCGUAGGCAGCGGACUGGCGGACGCGGGUUCAAUUCCCGCCGCCUCCACCA
Molecule: transfer-messenger RNA, 93 nt
Filed under: Gammaproteobacteria bacterium
Lineage: Bacteria; Pseudomonadati; Pseudomonadota; Gammaproteobacteria
Description: partial transfer-messenger RNA
Rfam family: transfer-messenger RNA
About the family: Bacterial tmRNA, also known as 10Sa RNA or SsrA, is named for its dual tRNA and mRNA-like properties. Its role is to liberate the mRNA from a stalled ribosome. To accomplish this part of the tmRNA is used as a reading frame that ends in a translation stop signal.
Source: RNAcentral